AGUGAACGCUGGCGGCAGGCCUAACACAUGCAAGUCGAACGGUAACAGGAAGAGGCUUGCUUCUUUGCUGACGAGUGUCGGAGGGGGGAGUGAUGUCUGUGGAACUGCCUUUUUUAGGGGGGGAACUAGUGGGAACGGUAGCGAAUACCGCAUAACGUCCCUAGGGGUAAGAGGGGGAGCUUCGGGCCCCUUGCGAGCGUGAGUGCGCAGAUGUGGGUUUCGCUAGUGGGGGGGGUAACGGCCCACCAAGGCGACGAUCCGUAGCUGGUCUGAGAGGAUGAUCAGCCACACUGGAACUGAGACACGGUCCAGGCUCCUACGGGAGGCAGCAGUGGGGAAUAUUGCACAAUGGGCGCAAGCCUGAUGCAGCCAUGCCGCGUGUAUGAAGAAGGCCUUCGGGUUGUAAAGCACUUUUAGCGGGGAGGAAAGGCGUCAGGUUAAUACCUCUCCUCACUGACGUUACCCGAAGAAGAAGCACCGGCUAACUUCGUG
RNAcentral lists this ribosomal RNA (492 nucleotides) under uncultured bacterium. RNAcentral's name for it is "partial 16S ribosomal RNA". It matches the Rfam family "Bacterial small subunit ribosomal RNA", at positions 28 to 507 of the family's 1533-position model. The record is from RNAcentral.